RNAcentral lists this ribosomal RNA (479 nucleotides) under uncultured bacterium. RNAcentral's name for it is "SSU rRNA". It matches the Rfam family "Bacterial small subunit ribosomal RNA", at positions 26 to 521 of the family's 1533-position model. The record is from RNAcentral.
AGGACGAACGCUGGCGGCGUGCUUAACACAUGCAAGUCGAGCGGUAAGGCCCUUUCGGGGGUACACGAGCGGCGAACGGGUGAGUAACACGUGGGUGACCUGCCCUUAGCUCUGGGAUAAGCCUGGGAAACUGGGUCUAAUACCGGAUAUGACCUCGCGAUGCAUGUCGUGGGGUGGAAAGCCUUGUGCGGCUAGGGAUGGGCCCGCGGCCUAUCAGCUUGUUGGUGGGGUGAUGGCCUACCAAGGCGACGACGGGUAGCCGGCCUGAGAGGGCGACCGGCCACACUGGGACUGAGACACGGCCCAGACUCCUACGGGAGGCAGCAGUGGGGGAAUCUUGCGCAAUGGGCGAAAGCCUGACGCAGCGACGCCGCGUGAGGGAUGACGGCCUUCGGGUUGUAACCUCUUUCAGCCCUGACGAAGCGAAAGUGACGGUAGGGCAGAAGAGCACCGGCCAACUAUGUGCCAGCAGCCGCGGU